GACAGAGGUCCCAAGCGUUAGGCGGAAUCACUGGGCUUAAAGCGUGUGUAGGCGGAUUUGUAAGUACCUUGUGAAAUCCCACGGCUCAACCGUGGAACUGCUUGGUAUACUGCUUAUCUUGGGCCAUCUAGGGGCUAGCGGAACAAACGGUGGAGCGGUGAAAUGCGUAGAUAUCGUUUGGAACGCCAAUGGUGAAAACAGCUAGCUGGGGAUGUGCCGACGCUGAGACACGAAAGCCAGGGGAGCGAACGGG
RNAcentral lists this ribosomal RNA (253 nucleotides) under uncultured bacterium. Its description in RNAcentral is "partial 16S ribosomal RNA". It matches the Rfam family "Bacterial small subunit ribosomal RNA", at positions 524 to 776 of the family's 1533-position model. The record is from RNAcentral.